Molecule: ribosomal RNA, 467 nt
Filed under: uncultured bacterium
Lineage: Bacteria
Description: partial 16S ribosomal RNA
Rfam family: Bacterial small subunit ribosomal RNA
Source: RNAcentral
GACGAACGCUGGCGGCGUGCUUAACACAUGCAAGUCGAACGGAAAGGCCCUGCUUUUGUGGGGUGCUCGAGUGGCGAACGGGUGAGUAACACGUGAGUAACCUGCCCUUGACUUUGGGAUAACUUCAGGAAACUGGGGCUAAUACCGGAUAGGAGCUCCUGCUGCAUGGUGGGGGUUGGAAAGUUUCGGCGGUUGGGGAUGGACUCGCGGCUUAUCAGCUUGUUGGUGGGGUAGUGGCUUACCAAGGCUUUGACGGGUAGCCGGCCUGAGAGGGUGACCGGCCACAUUGGGACUGAGAUACGGCCCAGACUCCUACGGGAGGCAGCAGUGGGGAAUAUUGCACAAUGGGCGGAAGCCUGAUGCAGCAACGCCGGGUACGGGAUGACGGCCUUCGGGUGGUAAACCGCUUUCGCCUGUGACGAAGCGUGAGUGACGGUAAUGGGUAAAGAAGCACCGGCUAACUACGU